GGUUAAGCGACUAAGCGUACACGGUGGAUGCCCUGGCAGUCAGAGGCGAUGAAGGACGUGCUAAUCUGCGAAAAGCGUCGGUAAGGUGAUAUGAACCGUUACAGCCGGCGAUGUCCGAAUGGGGAAACCCAGUGCAAUUCGUUGCACUAUCGUUAACUGAAUACAUAGGUUAACGAGGCGAACCGGGGGAACUGAAACAUCUAAGUACCCCGAGGAAAAGAAAUCAACCGAGAUUCCCCCAGUAGCGGCGAGCGAACGGGGAGCAGCCCAGAGUCUGAAUCAGCUUGUGUGUUAGUGGAACGGUCUGGAAAGUCCGACGGUACAGGGUGAUAGUCCCGUACACCAAAAUGCACAGGCUGUGAACUCGAAGAGUAGGGCGGGACACGUGGUAUCCUGUCUGAAUAUGGGGGGACCAUCCUCCAAGGCUAAAUACUCCUGACUGACCGAUAGUGAACCAGUACCGUGAGGGAAAGGCGAAAAGAACCCCGGCGAGGGGAGUGAAAAAGAACCUGAAACCGUGUACGUACAAGCAGUGGGAGCACCUUCGGGUGUGACUGCGUACCUUUUGUAUAAUGGGUCAGCGACUUAUAUUCUGUAGCAAGGUUAACCGUAUAGGGGAGCCGCAGGGAAACCGAGUCUUAACUGGGCGUUAAGUUGCAGGGUAUAGACCCGAAACCCGGUGAUCUAGCCAUGGGCAGGUUGAAGGUUGGGUAACACUAACUGGAGGACCGAACCGACUAAUGUUGAAAAAUUAGCGGAUGACUUGUGGCUGGGGGUGAAAGGCCAAUCAAACCGGGAGAUAGCUGGUUCUCCCCGAAAGCUAUUUAGGUAGCGCCUCGUGAAUUCAUCUUCGGGGGUAGAGCACUGUUUCGGCUAGGGGGUCAUCCCGACUUACCAACCCGAUGCAAACUACGAAUACCGAAGAAUGUUAUCACGGGAGACACACGGCGGGUGCUAACGUCCGUCGUGAAGAGGGAAACAACCCAGACCGCCAGCUAAGGUCCCAAAGUCAUGGUUAAGUGGGAAACGAUGUGGGAAGGCACAGACAGCCAGGAUGUUGGCUUAGAAGCAGCCAUCAUUUAAAGAAAGCGUAAUAGCUCACUGGUCGAGUCGGCCUGCGCGGAAGAUGUAACGGGGCUAAACCAUGCACCGAAGCUGCGGCAGCGACACUAUGUGUUGUUGGGUAGGGGAGCGUUCUGUAAGCCUGCGAAGGUGACCUGUGAGGGUUGCUGGAGGUAUCAGAAGUGCGAAUGCUGACAUAAGUAACGAUAAAGCGGGUGAAAAGCCCGCUCGCCGGAAGACCAAGGGUUCCUGUCCAACGUUAAUCGGGGCAGGGUGAGUCGACCCCUAAGGCGAGGCCGAAAGGCGUAGUCGAUGGGAAACAGGUUAAUAUUCCUGUACUUGGUGUUACUGCGAAGGGGGGACGGAGAAGGCUAUGUUAGCCGGGCGACGGUUGUCCCGGUUUAAGCAUGUAGGCUGGUUAUCCAGGCAAAUCCGGAUAAUCAAGGCUGAGGUGUGAUGACGAGGCACUACGGUGCUGAAGUAACAAAUGCCCUGCUUCCAGGAAAAGCCUCUAAGCAUCAGGUAACAUCAAAUCGUACCCCAAACCGACACAGGUGGUCAGGUAGAGAAUACCAAGGCGCUUGAGAGAACUCGGGUGAAGGAACUAGGCAAAAUGGUGCCGUAACUUCGGGAGAAGGCACGCUGGUGUGUAGGUGAAGUCCCUGCGGAUGGAGCUGAGACCAGUCGAAGAUACCAGCUGGCUGCAACUGUUUAUUAAAAACACAGCACUGUGCAAACACGAAAGUGGACGUAUACGGUGUGACGCCUGCCCGGUGCCGGAAGGUUAAUUGAUGGGGUUAUCCGUAAGGAGAAGCUCUUGAUCGAAGCCCCGGUAAACGGCGGCCGUAACUAUAACGGUCCUAAGGUAGCGAAAUUCCUUGUCGGGUAAGUUCCGACCUGCACGAAUGGCGUAAUGAUGGCCAGGCUGUCUCCACCCGAGACUCAGUGAAAUUGAACUCGCUGUGAAGAUGCAGUGUACCCGCGGCAAGACGGAAAGACCCCGUGAACCUUUACUAUAGCUUGACACUGAACAUUGAGCCUUGAUGUGUAGGAUAGGUGGGAGGCUUUGAAGCGUGGACGCCAGUCUGCGUGGAGCCAACCUUGAAAUACCACCCUUUAAUGUUUGAUGUUCUAACGUUGGCCCCUUACCGGGGUUGCGGACAGUGUCUGGUGGGUAGUUUGACUGGGGCGGUCUCCUCCCAAAGCGUAACGGAGGAGCACGAAGGUUAGCUAAUCCUGGUCGGACAUCAGGAGGUUAGUGCAAUGGCAUAAGCUAGCUUGACUGCGAGCGUGACGGCGCGAGCAGGUGCGAAAGCAGGUCAUAGUGAUCCGGUGGUUCUGAAUGGAAGGGCCAUCGCUCAACGGAUAAAAGGUACUCCGGGGAUAACAGGCUGAUACCGCCCAAGAGUUCAUAUCGACGGCGGUGUUUGGCACCUCGAUGUCGGCUCAUCACAUCCUGGGG
This 2524-nucleotide ribosomal RNA is filed under the name Klebsiella pneumoniae subsp. pneumoniae KpQ3. Its description in RNAcentral is "23S ribosomal RNA". It matches the Rfam family "Bacterial large subunit ribosomal RNA", at positions 1 to 2552 of the family's 2925-position model. The record is from RNAcentral. Lineage: Bacteria; Pseudomonadati; Pseudomonadota; Gammaproteobacteria; Enterobacterales; Enterobacteriaceae.